This 375-nucleotide ribosomal RNA is filed under the name uncultured bacterium. Its description in RNAcentral is "bacterial SSU rRNA". It matches the Rfam family "Bacterial small subunit ribosomal RNA", at positions 524 to 898 of the family's 1533-position model. The record is from RNAcentral.
UACAGAGGGUGCGAGCGUUAAUCGGAUUUACUGGGCGUAAAGCGUGCGUAGGCGGCCAUUUAAGUCAAAUGUGAAAUCCCCGAGCUUAACUUGGGAAUUGCAUUCGGUACUGGAUGGCUAGAGUAUGGGAGAGGAUGGUAGAAUUCCAGGUGUAGCGGUGAAAUGCGUAGAGAUCUGGAGGAAUACCGAUGGCGAAGGCAGCCAUCUGGCCUAAUACUGACGCUGAGGUACGAAAGCAUGGGGAGCAAACAGGAUUAGAUACCCUGGUAGUCCAUGCCGUAAACGAUGUCUACUAGCCGUUGGGGCCUUUGAGGCUUUAGUGGCGCAGCUAACGCGAUAAGUAGACCGCCUGGGGAGUACGGUCGCAAGACUAAA